RNAcentral lists this transfer RNA (76 nucleotides) under Bacillota bacterium. Its description in RNAcentral is "Firmicutes bacterium (anaerobic digester metagenome) tRNA-Lys". It matches the Rfam family "tRNA". From Rfam's summary of the family: Transfer RNA (tRNA) molecules are approximately 80 nucleotides in length. Lineage: Bacteria; Bacillati; Bacillota. The record is from RNAcentral. RNAcentral also lists the same sequence under 1 other name.
GAGCCAUUAGCUCAGCAGGUAGAGCACCGGACUUUUAAUCCGGGUGUCCCGCGUUCGAAUCGCGGAUGGCUCACCA